UGCAAAAUGUAUUUAGUCCCAACUUCAAAA
RNAcentral lists this non-coding RNA (30 nucleotides) under Rattus norvegicus (Norway rat). Lineage: Eukaryota; Metazoa; Chordata; Mammalia; Rodentia; Muridae. The record is from RNAcentral.